Molecule: non-coding RNA, 1333 nt
Organism: Styela clava
Lineage: Eukaryota; Metazoa; Chordata; Ascidiacea; Stolidobranchia; Styelidae
Source: RefSeq, a predicted model, not a curated record
AAAGAAUGCUGCAGUCAGCGACAAACUAAAGGCAGAACUGGCAAGAAAGAUGCAAACAAAAAUUACCCGGAUUAUUCUCACUGAUUUUCUCUGCUGGAUGCCUGUCUGCAUAAUGGGCUUUUUACAAGUUUCUGGCAUCAACAUACCAUAUGAUGCAUACGUCCCUGUAGGAUUGAUUAUUAUUCCGAUCAACAGCGCCCUCAAUCCUUUCUUAUAUUCUGAUGUCCCUGAUUACGUUUGGAAGAAACUGAGCCCCAUCAGAUCAUGGAUUUACGAAAAUAUCAUGAGACGAUGUGUUCGUGAUAACUUUGAUGAGAAGAAACCAAGUAGAAAUAGAAGAAAUGUUCAGAGUGGUUCCAAGUCGACAGAGGUAUAGUUCAACAACUCAAUUACAAAGAGUCGAAGAAAUUCAAACCUCAACCCAACGCGAAACCACUGUUUAAAAGGAUUGACAACAAAUUUACGUUCUUUCCGUCAGAUAACGGAAACACAGAAGAAACUUUUAAAUAACCCGACAUUCAAAACAUGUUUUGAUUUACAUUUUUAUUUUAUGUCAUAGAUUAUAGAUUUUAAUUUUUUUCUGGCAGAAUUUUCCCUGGUUUUUGCCUUAAACUUUGUCCCUGAUUCCAACUUUAAGUUAGAGCAUAUAUGAAAAAUUAUAUUAUUCUAUAGAUUAAAUCAAAUGUAAUAGAUAGAGGGAGUCGGAAGAUUUUGUUGCAUGGGAAAAAGAAUUGAGAAAACAGAAAGGAAUUUCAAAUAUAGUUUGGAAUCGAGUAUGGCCAAUGCUUAAAGCAUCAAUUCGAUUAGUUUCUAACCGGAUGUAUGAAAUAUAAUAAAUUGUACUAAUUCAAAAAAAUCCAAAAUAAAUUGAUGUCAGGUUAAUUGAAAUAGCAUAGUCCAUGAAUUUCUGAAUUUGACAUAAUUGCUGAAUAUUAUUGUGCAAAUCAUGGUAAUAUCACUGUAAAAACAUGACUUUAUUAAAGCUACUUGCUCAACAAUUUAGAGAAUUCUUACGCACUUUCAUACUUGCUCACACAAAAAUUUGCUUUUUUAAAUACAUUCAAAAUAUUUUCUCACGUUUUCACAAGAUAAUUACUUUAAGUGGUAAUUGGAUAUAAAAUUUGAUGGCAAUGUUCACACCGUAAUUGACUGGUUCACCCCACUUAGCAUAUCUCAUCAUCAUUAUGGCAAAAUUGAAAAAAAAAAAAUAUUUUUGUAGACGUGUGUAUCUAUAUCCCUGUGUGUUAUAACAAAAAAAAUAAAAUAAAAAUUUUGUAGAUGUGUCUAUCUAUAGCACUAUGUGCCCUUAUAACAAAAUUCAAAAAAAAAAAAA